Molecule: long non-coding RNA, 228 nt
Organism: Lutra lutra (Eurasian river otter)
Lineage: Eukaryota; Metazoa; Chordata; Mammalia; Carnivora; Mustelidae
Exons: 4
Source: RefSeq, a predicted model, not a curated record
AGAGCACUCAGCUCAUUGCCUUGUAUAAAGAAGGCUACACACAUGCUCAGGAGAGAUCAAAAUUGGCACACUUGAAGGUGAAAAGAAAAUGGCUUUAAAUGGUGACUUCAAUCCAACGAAAGAAAUAAAGAGCACUGCUAUAGUUUUGUAUGUUGAGCCCUGGUAUACAUGAAACAAAGAGGUGAACCAUAGAUUUAUCAUAUGACCUGACCUGUCAAUUCCAUUUGU